UACGGAGGGUGCGAGCGUUGUCCGGAAUCACUGGGCGUAAAGGGCGCGUAGGCGGCGCGGGAAGUCAUCGGUGAAAGUUCAGGGCUCAACUCUGAAUCGGCCGGUGAUACUCUCGUGCUUGAGCACUGUAGAGGCAGGUGGAAUUCCGGGUGUAGCGGUGGAAUGCGUAGAGAUCCGGAAGAACACCGGUGGCGAAGGCGGCAUCCUGGACCAACACUGACGCUGAGGAGCGAAAGCCAGGGGAGCAAACGGG
Molecule: ribosomal RNA, 253 nt
Filed under: uncultured bacterium
Lineage: Bacteria
Description: partial 16S ribosomal RNA
Rfam family: Bacterial small subunit ribosomal RNA
Source: RNAcentral